Molecule: non-coding RNA, 221 nt
Organism: Pelobates cultripes (western spadefoot toad)
Lineage: Eukaryota; Metazoa; Chordata; Amphibia; Anura; Pelobatidae
Source: the annotation of a GenBank genome assembly
GUACAUACAUAUUUCUUUGAAGAUUGACAUUCAACCGAGGAUUUAUUUAUACCAGAGGAUUUAUUUAUACCACAACUAGAAGCCAUUUAAACUCCAUAUAAACAGAACAGUGUGUUCAGAUUUUCCAUUUUCUGAUUAUUAUUUUUUUUUGCUCCUCUUAAAAGCAUUUUCCCCAUCAUAUUGGAAGAUUGACAGCCAUCCUGCAAUUAUCUAGAACGAAG